GACAGAGGGGGCAAGCGUUGCUCGGAAUUACUGGGCGUAAAGGGCGCGUAGGCGGAAUGGCAAGUCGGUCGUGAAAUCCUUCGGCUCAACCGAAGAACGUCGAUCGAAACUGCCGUUCUUGAGGAUUGCAGAGGAGACUGGAAUUCCCGGUGUAGCGGUGAAAUGUGUAGAGAUCGGGAGGAACACCGGUGGCGAAGGCGGUCUUCUGGACGGUGACUGACGCUGAGGCGCGAAAGCGUGGGGAGCAAACGGG
RNAcentral lists this ribosomal RNA (253 nucleotides) under uncultured bacterium. RNAcentral describes it as "partial 16S ribosomal RNA". It matches the Rfam family "Bacterial small subunit ribosomal RNA", at positions 524 to 776 of the family's 1533-position model. The record is from RNAcentral.